This 352-nucleotide unclassified non-coding RNA is filed under the name soil metagenome. RNAcentral's name for it is "partial contains 5.8S ribosomal RNA, internal transcribed spacer 2, and large subunit ribosomal RNA". The stretch from base 1 to 120 matches the Rfam family "5.8S ribosomal RNA", at positions 35 to 154 of the family's 154-position model. The record is from RNAcentral.
GAUGAAGAACGUAGCGAAAUGCGAUAAGUAAUGUGAAUUGCAGAAUUCCGUGAAUCAUCGAAUCUUUGAACGCACAUUGCGCCCUCUGGUAUUCCGGGGGGCAUGCCUGUCCGAGCGUCAUUACAACCCUCAGGCCCCCGGGCCUGGCGUUGGGGAUCGGCGGAGCCCCCCGUGGGCACACGCCGUCCCCCAAAUGCAGUGGCGGUCCCGCCGCAGCUUCCAUCGCGUAGUAGCUAACACCUCGCGACUGGAGAGCGGCGCGGCCACGCCGUAAAACACCCAACUCUUCUGAAGUUGACCUCGAAUCAGGUAGGAAUACCCGCUGAACUUAAGCAUAUCAAUAAGCGGAGGA